GGAUGGAUCAUGUAACUCUUUGCAUUGGUUGCGUGGAUGAUUGCUGAUGAGGAUGUGUGGUCUAGCAAAUUCAUUGCAGGACCCAUCUUCUCACCUCCCUCCCGCGCAACCAAACAACACACCUUCUUGCACUUGUUACUGUCGAUGGAGGAUGGCGCCGCUCCACACUCUUCGGAGUGUGUGCGCGCGCGAUUCUCCAUCUGCAUUUUCAUGUUCAUCCAAAUACCCCCGUUUACAUUUCUCAUGACACUUUUUCUUUUCUCAUUCGCAAGAAUGACAAUCGAUAAAACUUAUAACCAAAACAACUUUCAACAACGGAUGUCUUGGUUCCCGCAUCGAUGAAGAACGCCGCGAACUGCGAUACUUAAUGUGAAACGCAACACAGCGCGAAUCAUCAAGGUUUCGAACGCACAUUGCGCUGCCGGAGUCCCCUCCGACAGCAUGCCUGUUUGAGAAUCGUUUCCAACCUCAACCCCUUCCCCCCAUUUCACUCCGGUGAAGUGCCGCGCGAAGGGUGUUGGACGCUGAGUGCCCCACUGGUUGAAAGACCGGUGGGCCACUUGAAAUGGAGACCCCUAUCUGGAGCUUGUCAUCCAAGCCAAGCGGUGGACUGUGCUGUGCUGGUGUGCAUUCGUGCGCAUCUUUCAUACUCACAGACCUUGCUGCCUGCGCCUGACCGACGAGUUCAAAGUAGAAAGGAUAGGAUCGACGAGAUACGCAAGUACCUCACAUCGUGUCAUUCAUCCCAGAGUUCAUUCUCUGAACCCUUGCUUGACACACCCCACCUCAAUCGCGAUCUCAAAUCAAGCAAGACCACCCGCUGAACUUAAGCAUAUCAAUAAGCGGAGGAAAAGAAACUAACAAGGAAGCCCUCAGUAACGGCGAGUGAAGCGGGCUAAGCUCAACUUUCUAAUCUGCGUCUCCGAGUGAGGCGCCGAAUUGUAGUCUAGAGGGGCGUCCUGCGUGGUGCGCCGAGCAUAAGUGUCCUAGAAUGGACUGUCAGAGAGGGUGAGAACCCCGUCUUUGGCUCGGAGUGCGCUGCCGAUCAAGGGACGUUUCCCACGAGUCGGGUUGUUUGGGACUACAGCCUUAAUUGGGUGGUAGAUGCCAUCUAAAGCUAACUUAUCUGCGGGAGACCGAUAGCGAACAAGUAGCGUGGGCGAAAGAUGAAAAGCACUCUGGAGAGAGAGUCAAAAGGACCUGAAAUUGUUGAAAGGGAAGGGAUUGGAAUCAGUCGUUACCCUGCGGAGAUUCGCCGGUCGCCGGCGCGCUGCGCUGCGCUGCCUGAGCCCUCAAAGCCAGCGCGUGGCGAUGCGCGUGUCGGGGGCCGGUUACUUCUCCGUGCGGCGUAGGCCAAUAUCAGCUAGUAUGGACAUGGCGCCGGACAAGACUGCCGGGAAGGUAGGGACUGAGCCGUGUACGCGGCCGGUUCUGUUAUAGCCCGGUGGGGAUCCGUUGCGCCGCUGGCUGAGGAAAACCCUGGUGUGCCAUGCACGCGCCUCGGCGAGAUGCGCUGCCGGACGGCUGCCACCCUAAACAGGUGGUGGUUGGUGCCGGUGGUAGCGUCGUCGGCGUGCAAAGGAUAUUGGCGAAUUGGUUUCCAUCCACCCGUCUUGAAACACGGACCAAGGAGUCCGCCGUCUACGCGAGUAUUUGGGCGGCAAACCCGAAUGCGCAAUGAAAGUGAAGGCGUCAGUGGGCGCUGAGAUGGGACGGCCCGCGCGAAGCGAGCCCGCACCACCGGCCGAUCUGGACCCCUUGUGGUGAAAGAUUUGAGCAAGAGCGUAGCCCGUGGGACCCGAAAGAUGGUGAACUUUGCCUGAGUAGGUUGAAGUCAGUGGAAACACUGAUGGAGGACCGUCGAGAUACUGACGUGCAAAUCGUUCUUCUGACUUGGGUAAAGGGGCGAAAGACUAAUCGAACCAUCUAGUAGCUGGUUCCCUC
RNAcentral lists this unclassified non-coding RNA (1944 nucleotides) under uncultured fungus. RNAcentral's name for it is "sequence contains 18S rRNA gene, ITS1, 5.8S rRNA gene, ITS2, 28S rRNA gene". The stretch from base 794 to 1944 matches the Rfam family "Eukaryotic large subunit ribosomal RNA", at positions 1 to 961 of the family's 3401-position model. The record is from RNAcentral. Lineage: Eukaryota; Fungi.